RNAcentral lists this unclassified non-coding RNA (303 nucleotides) under plant metagenome. RNAcentral's name for it is "partial contains 5.8S ribosomal RNA, internal transcribed spacer 2, and large subunit ribosomal RNA". The stretch from base 1 to 105 matches the Rfam family "5.8S ribosomal RNA", at positions 50 to 154 of the family's 154-position model. The record is from RNAcentral.
GAAAUGCGAUAAGUAAUGUGAAUUGCAGAAUUCAGUGAAUCAUCGAAUCUUUGAACGCACAUUGCGCCCGCCAGUAUUCUGGCGGGCAUGCCUGUUCGAGCGUCAUUUCAACCAUCAAGCCCCGCGCUUGUGUUGGGGACCUGCGGCCGCCGCAGGCCCUGAAAACCAGUGGCGGGCUCGCUGUCACACCGGGCGUAGUAGAUUUUAUCUCGCUCAGGGCGUGCUGCGGGUUCCGGCCGUUAAAAAGCCUUUUUUACCCAAGGUUGACCUCGGAUCAGGUAGGAAGACCCGCUGAACUUAAGC